RNAcentral lists this long non-coding RNA (7692 nucleotides) under Sorghum bicolor (sorghum). RNAcentral describes it as "long non-coding RNA (SBIC_LNC011828)". Lineage: Eukaryota; Viridiplantae; Streptophyta; Magnoliopsida; Poales; Poaceae. The record is from RNAcentral.
UCAUGGCUAUUAGAUCAGGGCCGAGGUCGUAGCCAUCUGUAAGAAUUGGAUGUGAUGAUGGUGGUGGCUCUAAUAACUCGCCCUUUGGAGCAAAUAAUUUAUAGAUAGGAGUGAAAUCCACGUGGUGUGGUGAAAAUGGUAAGGUGAGUGUGGUAAAAAAAAAGGAAAAGAAAAAGGAUACACGGACGACUUGGUUCGAAACUAGCACAGCUACCGUUCCCCGGCAACGGCGCCAGAAAGCUUGUUGGGUAUUUUAAACGCAAACAGAAAAAUCCGCAAGCGCACGGAUACCGAUGUAGCUUUCACCCGGGAGUAUUCCAGAGUAUCGAUUUUCCACAGGAAACGUGAGUAUACUAAUUAAGAUUCAAGAUCGCCCAAGGAUAACUAUAUAAUUAUUUUUGGUUGGAAGAGAGGAAGUUUCCUAAGAGUUCUCUAGUUGAUCUAAGAAUUAAGAAUUACUUCAAGAUUAUCUAUUUCGGGACAUCAGAGCACUAACCACAGAAAGAGAUGAGAAGGGGGCUAGGAAGCUCCGACUACGGUCCUACAAACACCGAUCCGAACGAGGUGGAAUACGUCGACCGUUAGGGCUGUCACUACCCUAAGGCUACCACAACAAUCCGCAGGAUUGGGUGCAAUUCCAGGUAAUUGCAAGACUAAACACCACGUCUAAUCUAUUAAUUACUACUCUAAUGUUGCAAAGAUUAGAGCACUUGAUGCAAGCGGGAAUCCAAUAAAUAACUUGAAUGUAAAUAAAAGUAAUUAAAGAACUCAGGAUUAUGAAUUGAAUAACCUGGAGAUCGAUGAAGAACGAACCAGUUGCUACAAAAGUACAAUGUUGAGGAAGAUCCGACAGAUCCAUCUCCUCCUCCUCCACUCUCCUCUUCUCUCUCCCUAUUUUCUAGAUUACAACUAGAACUAACUAGAACUAGAACUAGAGGAACUAGAACUAGAACUAGAUGAACUAGAACUAGAUCUAGAUGAACUAGAGGUAGAACUAGAAGAACUAGAGGGAUCCUCUCUACUUGGAUGAAGAAUUGAAACCCUAACUUUGAUUCUGUAGAAGAGGUAUGCCUCCAGGGGCUGGUGGGGGUCUGCUUAUAUAGUCCAGGAAGAGUAGCCCCCAAGAAAUCUAGGAAGAGUAGCUCCCAAGAAAUCUAGGAAGAGUAGCUCCCAAGGAAUUUCCACGUUAUUCUCCACCAUCUGAUCAAACCGACAUUAAUCGCGUGAUUUUCCUUGAUCCAUAGAGUCGGUGGAGCACGAUCCGCGAAGUUGACCCUGAUUGGGCACUGUAGCAGGGCGGGCGCCCAGGAGAGUAGGAUGGGCGCCCUGCCUCCGAGCCCGAUCGCCUUCCCGUUCGUUCCCGUGGCUUCUGGAGUCUUCUAGAUGGUAGAAAAUUACGCGGCACGUUAAUAUCUCUAUGUAAUCUCGACAUGUGGGCCUUUCUUCCAUAUUUCCUGAUAACCCCCUGCAGAAAUAGACAAACACCAAAACUCAUGGAAUUCUGUCAGAUAAAACCCUAAGUCUAGGUGUUGGUUGCAUUUGGAUCCUUUUCCAUGAUUAGUUGAUGGUUAAAUGUGAGCAUUAAGGACCGUCAACAAGCUCCCCCAAGCUUAACCUUUGCUCGUCCCUGAGCAAAGCUAAAAUCAGCAAGAAAUCAGGGUUACUUUUAUGCCUCUUACUACAGUGUUUUUAAGUUAUCACUAAGGUCUUAAGUGAUUGAAAAACAGAACGAUCAAGUCAAGCACUAUGUCUCAAGUUCUUUUGUCUUACCUUUGUUCUGGAGUUUUUUAUAAGUCUGCAAAAUAAAACUGAAGCAUUUGCCUUCUUCUCGAAAGAUAUAUAAGUAGAGCUUUAAAAGUUUUAGCAUACUUACUUUGCAUUUUGCUAUGUCAAUGCUCGAAGCAAGGGAGAGGAAUGUCAUACUCCUAGAUCAAGACCUUUGACCUUUUUGAGAAGUUUGUCAUCUCUUACUGGCAUAUUGCUUAUUAGAGGGACCAUGGGCUAUCUUUUUUUCUUUUUUUUCUCUUUUUUUUCAGUCUCUUUAUUUUUUUUUCAAGUGGGCAGCAAGUAUCCCUAAUUCUACUGUCGGACACAUGUCCAUUUUUUCCACUCAGGUUGGUAUCUUUGUACCCCUAAUUCUACUUCGGACACUUGUCCAUUUUUACCUCUCGUCUCACUCUUUUUUUUCUUUUGAAUCAAAUUUUUACAUAGUCCCAUGCCUCUAACGCAAUAAUACUUUGGAAGAGUGAAUCUUUUAUUUUUAAAACAAAAAGAUCUUGAUCUUUGAAGCAUGAUAAGUCUCUCAACCAAAACUACAAGAAUUAACAAUGGCUUGAACAGAGCAAGUGCCUAUAGUUUUAAUAUUUAUAUCUAUUAAGACUCUAGGUAUUAUGUCAAAUAGGAUCUCAUUUAUUUUUAGAUUUUCUGAAUUUUUAGAUUUUCAAAAGAUAAAAUCUCCAGAACUCUAGCAAAACUUGGAACAAGUUAAAUAGUAGCUUAGAUCUUCUCAUAUCAUGUUUGUCAAUUACCUAGACUUGGAUCAAACUUUCUUUUUAUUUUAUUUAAAACUUAGGAUUACACAAAACUAUUGUAUAUUACUCAAAAGAAAAACUUUGUUUGGUUUUAUGGUUAUGCAUUUUUUUAUUUCUGAAUACUAGUAAAUAAAACUAAGAAAGAAAAGUAAUACUUAUCUAGAUACACGUGGGGGUGCCUCCCCCAAGCUGGAUGUUGACAUAGUCGUUCACUCUUGUGGCCUGCAUGGUUGGUCUCACUCUUCUUAAGCCUCAAAAUCUUGCACAACCCAAAUAGACAACAAAACUCGUGGAGCAUGUUAAGGAUUAGGUAAUUAUCUAGAGCUUAUGAGAGCUUAAUAUGAGAAUUCUAUGAACUCAAUCACAUCAAGUUCCUCUACCAGGUUAUUUUGUGGCUCGAGAUAGAUUUUCAAGCGUUGACCAUUUACCUUAAAAGUGUUACCUAUGUCAUCUUGGAUGGUAAUGGCUCCAUGAGUUGAAGUGUCAAUAACCUUGUAUGGUCCAUCCCACUUACUUCGUAGCUUACCAUGCCCAAAGAGCUUAACUCUUGAAUUGAAUAGUAGAACCUUAUCUCCAGGCUUAAACUCCUUGUGCUUGAUUCUCUUAUCAUGCCAUCGUUUUGUUCUUUCUUUAUAGAUCCUUGAAUUGUGGUAGGCUUUCUCUCACCAUUCUUCUAGCUCAGAUAGUUGCAUCAGACGAUUCUCGCUAGCAAGGUGGUGAUCCAUGUUCCAUUUCUUGAGUGCCCAAUGAGCCUUAAACUCUACUUCCACAGGCAAAUGACAAGUUUUUCCAUAUACAAGUUGAUAAGGUGACAUGCCUAUGGGUGUUUUGAAUGCAGUUCUAUAUGCCCAAAGUGCAUCAGGAAGUUUGUCCUUCCACCCCUUACCCAUCUCAUCUAUGGUCUUUUGUAAAAUAUUUUUGAUUUGUUUGUUAGAUGUUUCGGCUUGACCGCUAGUCUGAGGAUGGUAUGGUGUUGCGACGUUGUGUCGAACUCCAUGAUCGGCUAGGUACUUCCGGAAGAUUUUAUCGAUGAAGUGGGAACCUCCAUCGCUUAUAACUAUCCGGGGUAUACCAAAGCGAGGAAAGAUUACUUCAUGGAACAUUCUCUUGGCAUGUUUUGAAUCAGCUGAUCGACAAGGUAGGGCUUCUACCCAUUUGGACACAUAGUCCACAGCUACUAAGAUAUACUCGCAAUUCCUGGACAUAGGGAAUGGCCCCAUGAAAUCAAUGCCCCAAACAUCAAAAAGUUCUACUUGAAGAUUAUUUGUGAGAGGCAUUUCAUUUUGUGAGUUAAUAUUCCCAUGUUUUUGACACCGGUGGCAUCUCCUGACAAAGUCCUUUGUAUCUUCAUACAUCGUUGGCCAGAAAAAACCACUUUGCCAAAUUUUAGCAUGUGUCCGAAAUGCUCCAUAGUGUCCUCCAUAUGGCGAGGCAUGGCAUCUUUCCAUAAUUUGAGUAGCCUCAGCCAUAGGAACACACCUUCUCAAGAGUCCAUCAGCGCAGACUCGGAAAAGAUAUGGCUCAUCCCAAAGGUGGAAACGACUAUCGUGAAGCAACUUCCUUUUGUUUGCACCAGGUGGGACAUAGCCUUUUACUAUAAAGUUUACGAUGUCUGCGUACCAUGGAUCUGCAUGUGUUAUCUUAAGCAGGGUGUCAUCCCUUAGGUAGUCAUUUAUGGGAAGCUCAUCAUGUGUUUCCUUAUAUUGAAGCCUAGACAAGUGGUCGGCUACGGAGUUCUCUACUCCCUUCCUAUCUCGGAUUUCUAUGUCAAAGUCUUGGAGUAGAAGAAUCCAUCGAAUUAGACGAGGCUUAGCAUCUUUCUUAUUGAGGAGGUACUUGAGAGCAGCAUGGUCUGAAUAGAUGAUUAUCUUUGCCCCCACUAAGUAAGAUCUAAACUUGUCUAUAGCAAAGACAACAGCCAAAAGCUCUUUUUCAGUUGUAGUGUAAUUGAGCUGUGGUCCAGACAAGGUUUUGCUAGCGUAGGAUAUGCCAUAAUGCUUUUUAUCCUUGGUUUGUCCUAAAACGGCACCAACCGCAAAAUCGCUAGCAUCACACAUGAUCUCAAAAGGAAGAUUCCAAUCAGGUGGUUGGAUAAUCGGGGCUGAGAUGAGUGCUUUCUUAAGAGUUUGAAAAGAUUCAUGACACUCAUCGCUAAAAAUGAAAGGUGUGUCCUUAGCUAGGAGAUUAGUUAGGGGUCUAGCAAUUUGAGAGAAAUUCUUGAUAAAGCGUCUAUAGAACCCUGCAUGUCCCAAAAAGCUACGGAUUCCUUUCACAUUCGUGGGAGGUGGAAGUUUUUCAAUAACUUCAAUCUUUGCUUUGUCCACCUCUAUACCACGUUCGGACACUUUAUGUCCUAGCACUAUUCCUUCCUGAACCAUAAAAUGGCAUUUCUCCCAGUUCAGGAUUAAGUGCUUUUCUUCACAUCGCUGCAAGACUUUAUCUAAAUUCUCCAAACAAUGAUCGAAGGUUUUGCCAUAGAUGGUAAAAUCAUCCAUGAAAACCUCCAUGAUCUUCUCAAUCAUGUCCGAGAAAAUAGACAUCAUGCACCGUUGGAAAGAAGCUGGAGCAUUGCACAAUCCGAACGACAUUCGUCGGUAUGCAUAAGUUCCAUACGGGCAUGUAAAGGUAGUCUUUUCUUGGUCAUCUGGAUGGAUUGGGAUUUGGUGAUAUCCAGAAUAACCAUCAAGGAAACAAAAGAAAGAGUGGUUUGCAAGCCGUUCCAACAUUUCAUCAAUGAAGGGUAACGGAAAGUGAUCUUUCUUUGUAGCCUUGUUGAGUUUUCGAUAGUCAAUACACAUACACCACCCAGUAACAAUUCGUUGAGGGAUGAGUUCAUUCUUCUCAUUCCUAACGACCGUCAUUCCUCCUUUCUUUGGCACUACUUGGACAGGGCUAACCCACUCACUAUGUGGCACAGGAUAAAUAAUCCCAGCACGAUAGAGUUUGAGGACCUCUUUCUUAACAACCUCUCGCAUAGCAUUGUUAAGUCUCCGUUGUGGUUCCCUUGAAGGUGUAGAAUUGGGAUCAAUAGGGAUACGAUGAGUACAGAGAAUGGGACUAAUGCCCGUGAGAUCUUCGAGAGAGUAGCCAAAUGCUGAUCUAUGCCUUUCAAGAAUAGUGACAAGUUGUUGUGUUUCAUAAUCGGAAAGCUUGUCACUGAUAAUUACUGGAGUUUUUGGGUUAUUGUGCAAAAAGACAUAUCUAAGGCCAGAAGGAAGAGGUUUUAACUCUAUCGAAGGAGGUGAAGGUUGUUCAUUUUUGUCUAGCUCAACGGGUUCUACCAACUCUUCUUCUUCUUGAACAAAGUGUUCAUGAUUAAAGAAUGGUUGGGCCAUCUCCUCUUGAGUCAACAUUAAGAUCUCCUCAAUAGGAUCUGGUAUAAGUUUGGGUUCCACUAUCGUGUUAAUUGAUCUAGCAAGAGGAACAAUAAUAGUAGAAUUCCCAACCUUGAAGUCUAAAUGACCUCGUUGUGGUUGUUCUUGUAGAAGUUUCAUGAUUGGUCUACCAAUCAAGAGAGGAAUCUCCGGUAUGUCAAAAAUUUGAAAAUCUAGGCAUAUUCCAGAGUCCUUGAUUCCAACAGGAACUGCCCUUAAUACCCCAUGGCUUUCUAGAAUUAAUCUAGAUGGACUUUGUAAAAGCUUUUGGGAUGGGGUUAUGGACUCGUUGGGAUAAAGAGUGUCAGCUAACUCCUUGGAAAUAACAUUUAUCCCAACAUAUGGAUUGUAGUGGACCUUCCUAGUGGACCCUCUAAUUUGGCACAGAAGAAUGGUUGAAGGAAUGAUGAUUCGAGCUACCUCAGGGGACAGCUCCGCUUCUGUUAGCCAUUCAUAACUCAGAAUAGCCGAAAGGCUUUUGAUGUGUUCAAUGUCAACAGAUUCUACUCUUAGAACGGAUUGAGUGGUCCUUGCUAGAGGUCGUGUUUGGAUAGGAAAAUUUGAGGUGUUUCCAUAAUCUUCAAAAAGAUUUUCCUCGAAUUCAAAGGGAUGCUCUAAAGGUGGUAGUUCAUCAUCCCUUAAUUGGUUUCGCAUUCCCUUAUCAGGAGGUUUCUCUACAACCAAAUUAAUAGGUGGGUCAGGUGGAAUUUCUAACUUGGUUGCAAGUUCCUCAUCUUUUGGUUUAGGAUCAGCUUCGACUUCUUUUUCUUCUUCAGGAAACUCAUCAUAAAUGCCUGUGUAAGGGGUAUUUUCAAGGAUUCUUUCUAGGAUAGCUCUCCCCUCAUCUGUGAGUUUGUGUGUGAAUGAGCCUCCUGAAGCAAUGUCGAGGUGAAGAGCAGCUUCCUUGUUUAGACCACGAUAAAAGUGGUAGUACAGUACAUGGUCAGGCAGGGAAAGGUUUGGACCGGAAUUGGUAAGGCUUGUGAACCUAGCCCAAGCUGCUCCUAAAGUUUCCUUCUCUCUUUGUUUGAAUGUAAGAAUUUCAAUUCUAAGGUCAGCAAUUCGAAAAAGUGGGAAGAAAGCGAGACAAAAGUUGUCCCGAAGUUCAUCCCAACUUCCAUUAACGCCUCCUACAGAAUGAGCAUACCACUUCUUUGCUCUUCCCAAAAGGGAGAACGGAAAUAAUUUCCAUUUAAGGGUUUCUUGUGUCAUGCCAGAAAUAGAUCGGCAAGAGCACAACUGCUCGAAUUCUCUAAGGUGGGUGUAUGGAUCUUCAUCUACUUGCCCAGAGAAGGGUUGCUCCUGAAUCAUGGCUAUUAGAUCAGGGCCGAGGUCGUAGCCAUCUGUAAGAAUUGGAUGUGAUGAUGGUGGUGGCUCUAAUAACUCGCCCUUUGGAGCAAAUAAUUUAUAGAUAGGAGUGAAAUCCAUGUGGUGUGGUGAAAAUGGUAAGGUGAGUGUGGUAAAAAAAAAGGAAAAGAAAAAGGAUACACGGACGACUUGGUUCGAAACUAGCACAGCUACCGUUCCCCGGCAACGGCGCCAGAAAGCUUGUUGGGUAUUUUAAACGCAAACAGAAAAAUCCGCAAGCGCACGGAUACCGAUGUAGCUUUCACCCGGGAGUAUUCCAGAGUAUCGAUUUUCCACAGGAAACGUGAGUAUACUAAUUAAGAUUCAAGAUCGCCCAAGGAUAACUAUAUAAUUAUUUUUGGUUGGAAGAGAGGAAGUUUCCUGAGAGUUCUCUAGUUGAUCUAAGAAUCAAGAAUUACUUCAAGAUUAUCUAUUUCGGG